RNAcentral lists this ribosomal RNA (376 nucleotides) under uncultured bacterium. RNAcentral describes it as "bacterial SSU rRNA". It matches the Rfam family "Bacterial small subunit ribosomal RNA", at positions 521 to 896 of the family's 1533-position model. The record is from RNAcentral.
UAAUACGAAGGGGGCGAGCGUUGUUCGGAAUUACUGGGCGUAAAGGGCGCGUAGGCGGCCCACUUUGUCAGGCGUGAAAGCCCCGGGCUCAACCUGGGAAUUGCGCUUGGGACGGGUGGGCUUGAGUUCGGGAGAGGAGAGUGGAAUUCCCAGUGUAGAGGUGAAAUUCGUAGAUAUUGGGAAGAACACCGGUGGCGAAGGCGGCUCUCUGGACCGAUACUGACGCUGAGGCGCGAAAGCGUGGGGAGCAAACAGGAUUAGAUACCCUGGUAGUCCACGCUGUAAACGAUGUGUGCUAGACGUUGGGGAGCCUAGCUCUUCGGUGUCGCCGCUAACGCUUUAAGCACACCGCCUGGGGAGUACGGCCGCAAGGUUA